RNAcentral lists this ribosomal RNA (208 nucleotides) under uncultured bacterium. RNAcentral's name for it is "partial 16S ribosomal RNA". It matches the Rfam family "Bacterial small subunit ribosomal RNA", at positions 568 to 774 of the family's 1533-position model. The record is from RNAcentral.
CGUGUAGGCGGGACGGCACGUCGGUCGCUGAAAUCCCCCGGCUCAACCGGGGAACGGGCGCCGAUACGACCGUCCUGGAGGGACGUAGGGGGACCUGGAACUUCCGGUGGAGCGGUGAAAUGCGUUGAGAUCGGAAGGAACGCCCGUGGCGAAAGCGAGGUCCUGGACGUUUUCUGACGCUGAGACGCGAAAGCCAGGGGAGCGAACG